CUCGAAUCUCUCUUUUAUCUCCUCCUGCGUGCUUCUGAAUAUUUUUUCUAGUAUUUAUGUGAUUCUGUUUACUUUAAUAGAGAGACAUCUUAUUGAAAAUGGCUCAGCUUAGCAGCUCUGUUCAUUUCUAGUUACCUUUGUUCGAUUGAUGUUGAAUUUCUAGAGACCAUGGCUGUUCCUUUGCUGUCCAAGAAGAUUGUGAAGAAGCGAGUAAAGAAGUUCAAGAGGCCCCAGAGUGACCGUAAGAUUUCUGUGAAGACAAACUGGCGAAGGCCAAAGGGUAUUGAUUCAAGGGUCAGG
Molecule: unclassified non-coding RNA, 300 nt
Filed under: Hevea brasiliensis (rubber tree)
Lineage: Eukaryota; Viridiplantae; Streptophyta; Magnoliopsida; Malpighiales; Euphorbiaceae
Source: RNAcentral